GUGAAAAUCAGUUUAAUUUGAUAUUUUUAUAAAUUAUUUUUUUAUUAAUAUAAAUAAAAUAUUUUUUAGUUUUAUUAAUAAGUUAGAAAAAAUUAAUAUAAUUAUAGUUAAUUAGUAUAGUAGUAGAAUUUUAAAAAAAUUUUAUAAGAAAAAUUCAAUUUUUGUACCUUGUGUAUCAGGGUUUAUUAAUUAAAAAAUAUAGAAUUAUUUUUCUCGAUUUUAAAAGAGUUAAUUAUUUAUAUAUUUUAUUGUUAAAUAAAUAUUUAUAAUAAAUAAUUAGUAAUGAAACGUUAGUCGUUUUUAAAUAUAUCUAGUUUUUAAAGAAAAAAAUUUAAUUUUAUUUAUAUUAAUAUUUUUAUUUAAUUUUUAAAUAAAAAUUUUAUAUAAAUUAUAUUAUUUGGGAUAAGCUAAAUAAUAGAUUAUUAUAAAUUAAUAAAAUUUUAUAAAAUUGUAGAAUUAGAAAUUUUCAUCAUUUAGUUUGUUAUAAUUAAUUUAUUUUUAAAUAAAAAUUUAUAUUAAUUUUAAUUUUUUUAUUUAAAUAUUAAGUUUAACUUAUAAAUUUAAGGAAUUAUGAUAAAAUUAGUAUAAUUUAAUGUAAAUAAUAGUUUUUAAUUUUAUGUUAUAUAAAGGAAUUCGGCAAAUUUAUUUUUCGCCUGUUUAUUAAAAACAUGUCUUUUUGAUUUUAAUUUAAAGUCUAACCUGCCCAAUGAGUAUUUUAAUGGCCGCAGUAUUCUGACUGUGCAAAGGUAGCAUAAUCAUUAGUUUCUUAAUUAGAAACUGGAAUGAAUGGUUGGACGAGAAAAUAACUGUCUCUGUAUAAAUUUUUUAGAAUUUUAUUUUUAAGUUAAAAAGCUUAAAUUUAUUUAAAAGACGAGAAGACCCUAUAGAGUUUUAUAUAUUUUUUAAAAAUAAUAUUUUUAGAAUAUAAUUAGUUAUAUUUUUUUAAAAUAAUAUAUUUAAUUGGGGUGAUUAAAAAAUUUAAUAAACUUUUUUUUUAAUAUAACAUUUAUUUAUGAAUUAUUGAUCCAUUAAAAUGAUUAUAAGAUUAAAUUACCUUAGGGAUAACAGCGUAAUUUCUUUGAAGAGUUCAAAUCGAUAAAGGAGUUUGCGACCUCGAUGUUGGAUUAAAAUUUAAUUUUGGUGUAGAAGCUAAAAAAUUUAGGUCUGUUCGACCUUUAAAAUUUUACAUGAUCUGAGUUUAAACCGGUGUGAGCCAGGUUGGUUUCUAUCUUUAAAAAAUUUUAAUAUUUUAGUACGAAAGGACCAAAUAUUAGUAAAAUUUUAUUUUAUUAUGAUUAUUAUUAAUUAAUUGUUAUUUUGGCAGAUUAGUGCAUUAAAUUUAGAAUUUAAUUAUGUAAAUUAUA
This 1364-nucleotide ribosomal RNA is filed under the name Dacrila fallax. RNAcentral's name for it is "16S ribosomal RNA". The stretch from base 1061 to 1220 matches the Rfam family "Archaeal large subunit ribosomal RNA", at positions 2542 to 2701 of the family's 2987-position model. The record is from RNAcentral. Lineage: Eukaryota; Metazoa; Arthropoda; Insecta; Coleoptera; Staphylinidae.